Molecule: ribosomal RNA, 611 nt
Filed under: Eriesthis vestita
Lineage: Eukaryota; Metazoa; Arthropoda; Insecta; Coleoptera; Scarabaeidae
Description: partial 16S large subunit ribosomal RNA
Rfam family: Bacterial large subunit ribosomal RNA
Source: RNAcentral
UUUAAAAUUUGACCUGCCCAAUGAAAAGUUUAAUGGCCGCAGUAAUUUGACUGUGCAAAGGUAGCAUAAUCAUUAGUUUUUUAAUUGAAAGCUUGUAUGAAUGGUUGGACGAGAAAAUAGCUGUCUCAAUUUUAGUUAAUUAGAAUUUUAUUUUUAAGUUAAAAAGCUUAAAUAUUAUUAAAAGACGAGAAGACCCUAUAGAGUUUAAUAUAAUUAUUAAUGUAAAUGAUUUGGAAGUAAUUAUAUUUUCAUAUAUAAUUAUAUUUUAUUGGGGUGAUAAUAAAAUUAAAUUAACUUUUAUUUAUGAUUAACAUUGAUUUAUGAGUAUAUGAUCCAUUUUUUAUGAUUAUAAGAAUAAAUUACCUUAGGGAUAACAGCGUUAUUUUUUUUGAGAGUUCUAAUUGAUAAAGAAGUUUGCGACCUCGAUGUUGGAUUAAAGUUAACUUUUGGUGCAGUAGCUGAAAAGUUAGGUCUGUUCGACCUUUAAAAUUUUACAUGAUCUGAGUUUAAACCGGUGUGAGCCAGGUUGGUUUCUAUCUUUAAUUAAAUUUUAUAUCUUAGUACGAAAGGACUUGAUAUAAAUAUUAUUUAUUGUUUAUUGAAUAUCAUUA